RNAcentral lists this ribosomal RNA (167 nucleotides) under uncultured Flexibacter sp. RNAcentral's name for it is "partial 16S ribosomal RNA". It matches the Rfam family "Bacterial small subunit ribosomal RNA", at positions 369 to 533 of the family's 1533-position model. Lineage: Bacteria; Pseudomonadati; Bacteroidota; Cytophagia; Cytophagales; Flexibacteraceae. The record is from RNAcentral.
UGGNAGGNGCAGUCUGAACCAGCCAUGCCGCGGUGGAGGAUGAAGGCCCUCUGGGUUGUAAACUUCUUUUAUCUGGGACGAAAAAAGACUUUUCUAAGUCACUUGACGGUACCAGAGGAAUAAGCACCGGCUAACUCCGUGCCAGCAGCCGCGGUAAUACGANACGA